Molecule: long non-coding RNA, 1168 nt
Organism: Armigeres subalbatus
Lineage: Eukaryota; Metazoa; Arthropoda; Insecta; Diptera; Culicidae
Exons: 4
Source: RefSeq, a predicted model, not a curated record
GAAAUUGCCAAUCAAUAGCUCUUUUCUGAGUUGAACGACAAUUGAAGAGGACGUAGUCCCUGAGAAAGUGGAAGUUUGUGACCAUUAUUAGCCGGAACAAUCGUUCAAUCAAGCUUUACGAUCAGAAUCACGAAAAUUGGUGGAUUAUUAGUUAUUAGGCCCAAGUGCGCGGGAACAAGAAUUUCCGAUUUAGUAUUUGAAAAUUAGUACCAAUAUCUAAUUUUAGUAAAAUAAGUCGUGGCUGCUCGAGGCUCAGGAACUUGAAAUCCUUCACGCGAAGGUGUUCCGUCCGGUCUGAAGAUCGGAUUGUAGGUUGCGAGAGGUCUCGAUCACUCCGAUUCCUCUUGGUGGAUCCCGAAGCUUGGCGGCUUGUAGGCGUUCGUCUCGUCGUCCGGCCAGUGAACCACAUAGGCACCUACGGGCCAGGGAGGAAUUCCACAACUCCCAGGAAUCGUCGCUGAAAGCUAAUCGCCGGCCACAUUCCAUUCUCGGUGGCCUCGAGUACGCUGACUAUUUGGGCAACGAAACUGCUCGGAUAGCGUGGGUUAGCACCGGUUAGCGAAGACUCACCCACUGACAGCAUCAGCACACCAUUAGAAUUCCGCAUAUGCGAAGAUUGCACCAACACCACCGUACGCAACGUCUGCACCAUCAACUGCCAUCCACGAAGCUAAGCCUCACCACCACCAUCGCCCCAUCCACCGCUGGACAUCGCGCCUGAGCUCGAGCCGGAGCCACACGACAGGUUAGAUACCUUUUAUUUUUGUAACCAAUACAUCUUGAAAAUACGAAAUUUAGAAAAAACAGUCAGGCCGUCGAUUUUGUUAUAUUCCGACCGACUGAGGGACUGAAAGAAGCACGGCCGUGCGAAUGCACAAGUCCAUAGUGGAACUUGCAUGCAAGUAGGAUUGAUAGGACUGGUAACGAAAAUUAAAUUCCUAUUAACGAACUUGGAGAUUGUUUUAGGCAAAGGAAAGAUUGAUUGAUUGGUUUUUUUUAGAAUUCAUUGUCUGGGAAGGGAACUGGGAAUUAACUCGUAAAGGUUGGGAGUGAUUUGGUCGGUUCGUUCUACUUUUUUCCAUGAUUUUGACGGACUCGCCCUGAGUCUCGCCGGGUAUCUUAUCUUGCUGCUUCACAAGCAAGAGAUUUAGGUCGUCUUGCUUGGCGC